Long non-coding RNA from Cimex lectularius (bed bug), 471 nucleotides. RefSeq lists it as uncharacterized. The record is from RefSeq and is a predicted model, not a curated record. The transcript is spliced from 3 exons. Lineage: Eukaryota; Metazoa; Arthropoda; Insecta; Hemiptera; Cimicidae.
GAGCGGGUGUGAAUGGAUUUAACAACUGAUUAUGUUGGGGACCAAAAUGCACCUCGAACCCAACAUCGGCGGCUGGACGGAUAAGACCGAGGUGGACUGCAGAAGGUGGUAGGCACAACUCUGUACAUGCCUGGGCAGAUUGGAGCUUAUAUAAAUGAGGAAUCAUAUGAUCUCUCUUGUGGUGUAAUAUAUAUAAAAAUUAUUUUGAUCAAGUAAUAUCUUCAGACGAGGAAUCUUAAUCAUCACAAUGCGUUGGCAGCUUGUAAUCAUUGAUCUCUUUAUGUAUUCAUGUCAUGAGUUGGAGUAAUACAGAUUAAAGGCUUUGAGCUCGCUACGGCUUGAAGGGCGAAGGAAGAAACGAUUGGCUUGUCUGAAAAGCUUUGCUCGACGUCUCCUCUGGAUUAACACGCACCGGAAAGCCUCGCCUCCGAGAAGAUUAUGCAUUUUUGCAGUCCCUCUUAUUUUUUAAAG